AGCAGGUAAAGGUAUCCGUAAGGGUGCUGUAUAGAGGUGAACUCGCGUCCUAUCAGCUAGUUGGUGGGGUAACGGCCUACCAAGGCGAUUGACGGGUAGCUGGACUGAGAGGUCGGUCAGACACAUGGGGACUGAGACACUGCCCCGACUCCUACGGGAGGCUGCAGUCGAGGAUAUUUAGCAAUGGGCGAAAGCCGACUAUGCGACGCCGCGUGAGGGAUGAGGGUUUUCGGAUUGUAAACCUCUUUCACUGGGGAAGAAUUCAGACGGUACCCAGAGAAGAAGCCACGGCUAACUCCGAGCCAGCAGCCGCGGUAAUACGGAGGUGGCGAGCGUUACUCGGGUUUACUGGGUGUAAAGGGCAGGUAGGCGUCUCGAUAAGUUCCUGGUGAAAUCCUUCUGCUUAACAGAAGAACUGCCUGGAAAACUAUCGAGAUUGAGGCUAGGAGAGGAGAGUGGAACUCCCGGUGUAAGGGUGAAAUCUGUAGAUAUCGGGAGGAACACCAGAAGCGAAGGCGGCUCUCUGGACUAGAUCUGACGCUGAACUGCGAAAGCUAGGGGAGCAAACAGAAUUAGAUACUCUGGUAGUCCUAGCUGUAAACGAUGAGCACUAGGUGUUGGC
This 622-nucleotide ribosomal RNA is filed under the name uncultured Omnitrophica bacterium. RNAcentral describes it as "bacterial SSU rRNA". It matches the Rfam family "Bacterial small subunit ribosomal RNA", at positions 196 to 827 of the family's 1533-position model. The record is from RNAcentral. Lineage: Bacteria; Pseudomonadati; Candidatus Omnitrophota.